Molecule: non-coding RNA, 368 nt
Organism: Ictidomys tridecemlineatus (thirteen-lined ground squirrel)
Lineage: Eukaryota; Metazoa; Chordata; Mammalia; Rodentia; Sciuridae
Source: RefSeq, a predicted model, not a curated record
ACAGAUAUGGAGAUGAAGUCAAGCCCCGAGAGGACAUGUGUAUCAGUUCCACCAAGUUUGCCCAGCUAGCAAGUGACUGAGCUGAGAUGUGAAUCCAGGUGUGGAAACUGAAGCUAUGAGAGGUCAAGGAACUUGCUUCAGGUCGCACAGCUGGUUGCAUGACAAACUGUCCCAUCCUGUGGAAGACAGCUUCAGAAUUAAGAAACAGCAGUGGCUGAUGAUCCCAAGGAUGUUAAAUGGCUUUAUUAAUCAUAACCACAGACUAAAGGCUGUGUGUUUUCUCCAGGAGCAGAGUGAGAGAUUGCCUUGUCUUCUGCCUCUCCCACUGUAUAAUCAAGGCAUCAAGCUAAAUUAAAGGAAAUGCCAUC